GUGUCCUCCUUUCUCAUCCCUCCCCGGGACGAAAAGCUGUUGCCUCUUCCCAGAACACUUAGUGGCGCGUAAUCCGUCUGGCUUGCCAGAUCUCCUCAUCCGAUCCUAAGCGUGCACAGGGGUAAACUUGUCGAAACUACUUUCUCUCCCUAGGCAGCCAUACAGGCAUCUCUGUGUUCUCUGCUCAAGUUCUCCCAAAUAUUCUCAUUUCUCUCCUAUGCACAACGCAACCUAUCCAUGCCCGUUGAUAUUGAAAGAGUCUAGUCUAUCUCCUCUCUCAAAGAAGCUAUAGGGGAUCCACCCGACAUGCUGGGGGUCAUUCUCCUCAAAUUUUUUUCCUUCUGUUGCCUCAUAAUGACAACAUAUUGCUUUUAAAGAACGCAAAACCUCUACUACAAUGUAAAGAAAAACAGCUUUGACUAAUGAAUAGAAUUGAACAACCUAGUCCACACAGAAAGGAAAAUUUCAGGAUGCUGUCAUCAGGCCUGCCUGUAAACACCAUGCAACUAAUCAGUCUUUGAAAUACAGAUGAAGAAGUCCAAAGCCAUUUGUAUUGGGCCCAGUAUUCACCAUAUACAAGGUGUCAAUAAUAGUGUGCUCCAAGUUCUGAGCACAGCUCAUCAUCCAUUUGCAGUGUUUGGUGAAGAUAUAUGUAUUGGUGUUUCAUGACUUCCAGCAUUGAAUAUCAAAAUCUCUGGAGAACUGAGGUUAAGGAUCACCAGAAAGGAAGGGUUAUAAUCUGCACAAUUAGAGGGCCAUUUUUUUUUAAUGGACAAAUUCACUCCUCCACAGGAGUACCAGUUAUUUCCCAUCUUUCUACAUCUUGAGAGAGGUGAGGCAGAGCAUAGGGGAAACCAAUUAAGAGGUUCUGUGAGCGAAUGCCAUUAAGGACAGCGAUGAUGAAAACACAUUCUGUUCAUGAUAUGGCAUGGUCUUAACUGCUGCAAAAAGAAUUCUUUAAUUUAGUGAGUUGCCAUGGGAAUGAAAUUAAACCAAAUGGGUGGGAGCAAAGGGUUGAGUUAAACUGGGACAGCUAGGUGGUGCAGGGAAUAGAGUGCUUGGAGUCAAUAAGACCCUAGUUAACAGCUUCAGACCAUACUGUGUGAUCCUAGGCAAGUCACUUAACCUUGUUCACCUCAGUUUCCUCAUCUGUAAAAUGAGCUGGAAAAAGAAAGAGCAAACCUCUUUAGUAUUUUUGCCAAGAAAACUCCAAAAUGAGGUCAUGAAAAAAGGACAUGACUUAAACAUUAAACUGGCAUUUUUAUAUAUAUAUAUACA
Molecule: non-coding RNA, 1278 nt
Organism: Monodelphis domestica (gray short-tailed opossum)
Lineage: Eukaryota; Metazoa; Chordata; Mammalia; Didelphimorphia; Didelphidae
Source: RefSeq, a predicted model, not a curated record